This is an RNA transcript of Daphnia magna, 3112 nucleotides long. RefSeq lists it as uncharacterized. NCBI's taxonomy places the organism in Eukaryota, Metazoa, Arthropoda, Branchiopoda, Diplostraca, Daphniidae. The record is from RefSeq and is a predicted model, not a curated record. The transcript has 2 exons.
AUUCGCCGAGCACCUAAAGAAAAAAAAUUUAAAAUCGUGAAAAAUUCAAUACAGGAAAUGGAUUAAGGCCAGCCUCUGUUUUGAUCGUGAUUCAUUGUUAUAAAAAAACAAAACAAGAAGGUGUUACCUUCAACGUAAAUCCAAUUAGAGAACAAGUGAAAAAAACAAAGAAAAAUGAAAUGUUCGAUGGCCUUUGGAUUUUCCGUGUUGCAAAGGGUUGCAACGCAAUGUUCGUUGACCUGUUCGAAUCAGAAUAUGACGGCCUUGUUAAGUUACUCCACUUCCCGCGUGUUUCCCCGCUCUUGAUUUCUGACUUUUCAAAGACUUCCGCGUCUCGUAAACGAAAUGCAGCUAUUCUCCCUACAACAUAUGGAUUAUUAUCGCGAGAUUUUUCAAAACUCAAACGGGCGAGACAUGAGGCAUCUGUAGACGCAAUAGCCCGUUUUCAUUUCUUUUUUUACUGUUCCAUUUCGGGUUCUCGUGCCAAGGCUGAAACUGUUUUCUUUUACUUUCUUGAAACAGAUGAAUUUCUUUUUUAUGUCAUACUGACAAGGAGAAUCAGUGCCAUUAAUUAUUCAGAUUCGCGUAGCCUAUUGUGGGACUACCCUUCGUUUCUCUUUGUUUUGAAACGAAAAGAAAAACAAAUCGGUCUGGAACGCAGUGUGCAUUAUUGAAAGGUGUAUAGCAACAGGUUAGCCAAACACAAAAAGGUUCACUUUCAUUUUGUAUAGCUUCCAUUUUGGUCAAUCCACAAAUGGUUGUAACCCAUUUCUGCCAUUAAAAGUUCGAGGUUUUUUUGGUAGAGCUACUACUACAACUACUACUACUACACCAUUGUGUCCACUAUCCCGACACGAGAAAAGCGUCAACCGACAGGAACGUUUGACACUCGUUCGUGUUUUCUUUGUUUUUUCGAAUCGAAAAUCAGCUGAUUGGUUUUCUACUCGACCUAAUCACCAAAUGAAGCAUAACGAAGGUGAACUGGCAUUGGCCAUGAAACGUGCCCGUUGAAUUGUGGUGCAUUUCAUUCGGGGAAGCCGAUGCAAUUUGAUGGCUAAAAUUCGAUUUCUUUUUCUUAUGGCUGCCCAAAAUGAUUCAUCUACGUAGCAGACGACAACAGGUUUUUCUAUAGUCUGCUUUUCUCUCCGUCUACUGUGGAAAGUCACUUUUCUCGUUUCUAAAAAAGAAACGUCGUUUAACCGUAUCGACUAUAAACAUAUUUCCGUUUUCGGUCAAACGAAUUUUCAAUUCUUUUUUGUUUUUCAUUUCUGUAUUUCAUGUUUCCAUUUUCAGUGUGUGAACGUGAGUCAUUUCUCUGCUACGGUCUGUGUGGAAAAAAGAAGUCAACAGAUUUCAAAAAAACAAAACAAACAAAUGGAUUUCUCUGGAAUUGCAGUGCUUGGAUCUCAUCUCGAGCUGGAAUGCAAAUGGACGGUCAGACAAGGUGUUGGCAUGUGCAUAUGCACUAAACAAAAUAGGCUUCGUGAAGGCCGUCGCAGUUUGUAUUAGGCUGGACUACUUUAUUUUUAAUUCUUUUGUCUUUCUCAUUCUGUUUUGUGUUUAUUCCUUUUCUCUUCUGCUCGAACUCUGGCAAUCGACGUAAUCAAACCGUUAUUUUGUUUAGCACUUUCGUACACUCAAGGUUGUGAAGCUUUCAAGAGUUGCAGUAAUAUCGUUAUCAUCCACUCUAAUUGCAAACUUGCAAUCGGCUCUGAUUUUCACCGACACGAACAAUUUCCCAACGUAAUUCCUAUCUGUGUACUAAAAACGAUGGAUUUCUUUAUGGUUUUUCGUUGGAGAGGGUGAAAAAAAUCAAACAAGAUACGACCGGUUUUGUUUCAAACAUUUUCAAGGAAGUUGGCAAGGUUGCAUUCCCAGGAAACUGACGAUAGAUGACGUGGAUUUUCGCCGUUACCCAAACAAAGAUAAUUCAGUCAGUGAACAGGUUAGCUCAAACGCUUUCUCUCAGCCAAAAACGAUGGGCAUCUAUCAUCUGCGAAACUGUGGCAUCACCGUUCACAUCAUCAAGCACGUGAGUUCCACCUUUCUAAUCAGGGAAAAACAAUUAGAAAGCCAUUCUUCGUUCUACCCAAACAAUCGGUGAACGGUACAGCCAGGGCGAUCACAAAUGACGUUGGCAAACUGAAGAAUUGCCCUUUCAUCCAGCAUAGUGUAUAUGGAACAAGUGGAAAGCACAUUGAAAAACAUCGUUCAGGAGAUGUCGAUUGGAGCUCAUCAAAACUUGUGAAGCAAUCUUCGGUAACUAUUGGUCCUCUUUGUUCUUUGUUUUUAACUGCAAACGCCGUCCUAUAUUUCCUAUUUGCGUAAUACGUAUACCGUUUCGAUUUCUAUACGCCACCUGGUGGUAAAUCUCUUGAUGAUGACGUCAAGUCCGAAUGGUGAGAAACACAAAUACGCCUGGAUUUUUCGUGGUUAAUUUGCAGAAACGUAUUUAGAGCAUUAACGAAUGAUCACCAAAUUUUGUGUUAUCGCUUUUCAGUCAUUUGCUACUGUAAAUAUUGUAAUUUCGAUUAGCAUUGAACAGAAUUUCCUCUCAAUUCGAUGAGACUGUCAUUUGUUUUGUUCUGUGGAUCACCCAGUCGUUUUUUUAAUUUAAGUCAACUGAUCUAUUAAAAAACUUUGGUUUCUCCUUUUCCUCGUAGAUUUCAGAAUACUACAAGGCUUUUUAAUCCAUUAACAUUUCAAGAUGAUUAGAAACUUCUGGUAUGGCCGUUUUGGUAGGUCGGUAUCAGCUAGUGACUUGCCUGUCAUUAGCUCACCAUGACAUGUCCACAUCAUUUUUGAUAUGUUUUCCUAAUUGUCACAAACUUUUUCUUUUACAUUCAGAAUAGAAGAUAAUCGUUGUUAAAUUCCCUGUAAAGUUCAUUAAAGACAUUGGGCAAUUUUUUAUUCCAAAAUGAGCUGCAAAGCGAAAUUGACGAGGAAACUGCAUAACGGUGUUUCAGCACCCAAAUUCAUAGUAUAUAAGGGUUGGUGUGGACAUUACACAGUAGCGACCAUUAUUAUGAUUAGGUAUGCAUGCGUCUAGUCAUGAAUGGCAUUUCUAGUAGCACGAUACAAGAGUCUGUAAGGAACAGAUGAAGCAAUCGCG